This 322-nucleotide ribosomal RNA is filed under the name uncultured eukaryote. RNAcentral's name for it is "partial 18S ribosomal RNA". It matches the Rfam family "Eukaryotic small subunit ribosomal RNA", at positions 1470 to 1796 of the family's 1831-position model. The record is from RNAcentral.
CCCUUAGAUGCUCUGGGCCGCACGCGCGCUACAUUGAUGCAAGCAGUAGGCAUGCCUAGCGCGAGAGCGCCCGGGAAUCUGUUGUAGGCUGCAUCGUAACGGGGAUGGCCCAGUGGAAUCCUUGGUCCUGAACGGGGAAUGCCUAGUAGGCACGGGUCAGCAACCCGUGCCGAUUACGUCCCUGCCUUUUGUACACACCGCCCGUCGCUCCUACCGAUUGGAUGAUCCGGUGAGCUAUUCGGACUUUCGCAUUGUCGAUUUUCGGCUUUACGAGGGAAAGUCUCGCGAACCUUAUCAUCUAGAGGAAGGAGAAGUCGUAACA